GGGGAUGUAGCUCAGUGGUCUAGAGCAGUCGGCUCAUAACCGAUUGGUCCCUGGUUCGAAUCCAGGCAUCCCCACCA
This 77-nucleotide transfer RNA is filed under the name Candidatus Saccharimonadota bacterium. RNAcentral's name for it is "tRNA-Met". It matches the Rfam family "tRNA". From Rfam's summary of the family: Transfer RNA (tRNA) molecules are approximately 80 nucleotides in length. Their secondary structure includes four short double-helical elements and three loops (D, anti-codon, and T loops). Lineage: Bacteria; Candidatus Saccharimonadota. The record is from RNAcentral.